GCACUAUUCUCAAAACAGCUGCGUGUGAAGAUUGGGAGAGAGGAAUAAAACACGCCGCUGGAGUGGGGCAUAAGUCAAAAAAAAGAGAAGAGAAAAUGAAGGAAGCGACGGCAUCUAGAUAAAUCAGAGGCAGAGCGGUCCGGAGAGCUCCGGGUGGCCCAAGGCAGCUGCAGGGGCUGAUGGAUGGCUUGGGACAAAGCAGGUUGCAUCCCACUGUGAACAGAGGGAGAUGGCUCAGCUGUUUGACAGCUGGAAAACCACGGACUCUGCUUCUAAGAAUGACCUGGGCCAGUCAGCCAGGACACAAGCGAAGUUCCGGGUGAUCACUGCUUGCAUUCUGCCACCGCAACAUCACCACCUCCUCACCAGCCUUUCGGUCCCACCUCUCAUCCCCCAUCCCUGUUAAAUCCCAAGUACACGUCCGUUAAGCUAUACCUAAUAAAAUGACUUAGAUUUUA
Myodes glareolus (Bank vole) is the source of this 458-nucleotide non-coding RNA. The record is from RefSeq and is a predicted model, not a curated record. Lineage: Eukaryota; Metazoa; Chordata; Mammalia; Rodentia; Cricetidae.